CUGAGUCAGAAGAGAAAUAAUCUGAUUGGCCUAUCCUGAGUCAAGUGGGCAUCUCUGGUCCAAUCAGCUCUGUGCAGGGAGGCAGAGCUCCUCAUAGCAGCGCUCUUAAUUGCAAGCAAUGGAAACUGAUUUGAGCAAAAAAGAAAUUUAUCAAAAGGAUAUCGACUGGAUCACAGACUUUUCAGGCUUGGAAAACAGACAGAGACAGGACAGGACAAACAGCUAGAACCACAGCCACAAUCACAUCACAGAAAUGAUUUUGUAAGGAUUCUGCUGCCAAAGGCUGGACUGGGCAAUUUGCACCCCUAUCAAGGGUAGCACUGCAUGCGGACCCUGCAGCCACCAUUUCCCUGGGCAUAGAAUAUGGCCACCACCACCAGAAUGGAUUCUCUUGUCCCUGCUUAUUUGUAUCAUGAGCUGCAGAGGCUGAGCCCACCUCAUGUCCAUGCACCCUCAUUGCCAUCGGGCGAUGGGACAAACGGGACAUGAGUACUGGCCUUUUCAGCUUUGUACUAGAAGGUGGGCCCACCUUUCGUUGGGCCCCAUGUAGUGGAAAGUUCUCUAAACAUAGAAAAGGGUACAGAUGCUUGAUCCCACCAAAAGCGUCAUGUGGUACCAACCAUCUCGACCGUGAGGGCCAACUGCUCUGGGUGGACAGUUCUUGAAGAAGGGACUGUGGGCUGGAUAGGUGCCCAAAGAGUGUCCGUGACAGUUACCUCUCCCCAAAGAUUCUACCCAGCUCAUGUGCCUUCUAUGAAAUCUUUCCUCCUCCCAAUCCAUCCCAUCCUGGCUCUUUUCCACUUAGAACUUGCAUAGGAGGGCUGGACGUAGUGGCUCACACCUGUAAUCCUAGCACUUUGGGAGGCCGAGGCGGGCAGAUCACUUGAGGUCAGCAGUUCAAAACCAGCCUGGCCAACAUGCUGAAACCCUGUCUCUACCAAAAAUAUUUUUAAAAUUAGCCAGUUGUGGCCGGGCACGGUGGCUCACACCUGUAAUCCCAACACUUUGGGAGGCUGAGGCAGGCGGCUCACAAGGUCAGGAGAUCGAGACCAGCCUGGCUAACACGGUGAAACCCUGUCUCUACUAAAAAUACAAAAAAAUUAGCCAGGCGUGGUGGUGGGUGCCUGUAGUCCCAUCUACUCAGGAGGCUGAGGCAGGAGAAUGGCGUGAACCUGGGAGGCGGAGCUUGCAGUGAGCGGAGAUCGUGCCACUGCAGUCUAACCUGGUUGACAGAGUGAGACUCCGUCUCCAAAAAAUAAAAAUAAAAAUUAGCCAGUUGUAGGGCCAGACGCAGAAGCUCAUGCCUGAAAUCCCAGCACUUUGGGAGGCUGAGAUGGGCAGGUCAUGAGGUCAGGAGAUGGAGACCAACCUGGCUAACAUGGUAAAACCCUGUCUCUAGUAAAAAUACAAAAAAUUAGCUGGGCAUGGUGGCGGGUGCCUGUAGUCCCAGCUACUUGGGAGGCUGAGGCAGGAGAAUCGCUUGAACCCAGGAGCCAGAGGUUGCAGUGAGCCGAGAUUGUGACACUGCACUCCAGCCUGGGCAACAGAGAGAGACUCCAUCUCAAAAAAGAAAAAGAAAUUAGCCAGUUGUGUGGUGGCAGGCGCCUGUAAUCCCAGCUACUCAGGAAGCUGAGGCAGGAGAAUAGCUUGAACCCAGGAGGCGGAGGUUACAGUGAGCUGAGAUCACACCAUUGCACUACAGCCUGGGCGAUAAGAGGGAGACUGCAUCUCAAAAAAAAAAAAAAAAAAAAAGAACUUGCAUAGGAAGGCACAGGAUGAAAUUGUUGUUGUUGUUUUUCUAUCUGAGAUAUAAGCAGCUGGAAGGCAGGAAGCCUGCCUUAUGUUUCUGUUUGGCCUGUGCAGGGCAGGGCCUAUAACUGUGCAGUGUCUAUACCUGGGCCUUUACAUACUUGUUGGUCGGCUCAGGCAUCAGCCAAAGCUCUUACAGAUCUAAGUAGCAGACACGGACUCUUGGUGACAAACCAAAAAAUAAAAUUUUUGGAAACGUAUGGAGUAACUCAUAGAAAGGAUGAAAAAGCUCCACCACCAGGCCUCCAGAUAGCACAUAGCACCAGGAAGCAAGAAGGAAGGGACAGUCCCUGGGGCACUGCCAACCCAUUGAUUACCUUCAACAAUCCUUCAUCCUUAUAGUACUGCACUCAUGACUCAAAGUCCCAGCUUGGACAGUUACAGGCUCUGUCACUUGGACAAGUCACUUAACCUCUGUACUGGGGUGUCCUCGUUGACAGAAUAGAGCUAAAAAUAAAGCCCACUUCCUUAACUGGCAAUGGGAGGGUUGGAUGCUCAGUACAUGAAGAUCCUUAGAAAGGGGGCCAGCACCUAGCAAGCACUUCAUAAAUAUCAGCUACUAAAAAAUACCAGGAGAGAAAGCCCAAUGGGCUCAGCCGAGGACAUGUAUUCCCUCUGGGGGUGGGUGAGGCCAGUGGAGGCUCUUAACUGACAGUCCCACAGAGACCCACAUGCAGCAGUAUCUUCAAGGAGCAGCUCUCCAAGAAACACAGAAGUACACUGACAGAAGAAGGGGGAAAGGAUACUGGGCAGGCAAGAACAUAAGUGCCCAUGAUGACUUCUCAGCUCCCCAGGACAGAAAAAGGGUCCGACUCCAACAUCUACAGGUUUGAUCUAGGGCAGUGGCUGGGAAGAAGGAAGAAGAUUGAGAGGCAUGUCUAACAACGUCCAAGCAAUCUCCCUACCAAAGCAGCCCAUGACCCUUGAAAGAUAUUGCUUCAGAAGAAAGUCAGAUGGCAAAAGGUCGUCCCGCUCCCAUGCAAUCAUUCAUUGCCCCCUCUCCUGCCACUGGCAAACCGUGAUUAAUUCCUGUGGCAGCCGCAGAAAUCAUUCCUAAUGAAUUUCUAAUGAACUCAUUUGGUGUUAAUGCGGUGUGUAAUUCUGCAGGACACUCGUUGUAAUUUAGCCUUAUUAAAUCUCUAGUUAUUGGGAACUACUAUUGCUCUAAGCUCAUAAGCAGGAGAAAAGUAAUUAUGCAGAGCAAGCGGUUAAAUUAUGAAAAGGAUUGGACAUUCUGAGAAGGCUGAGACGUGGCUGCUCCUGUGUUUUCUCCCUGGGGUGCACUGCUCUACAAAGGUGAGCAGGCUGUGCAGGUCUUCGAGCUGAGGCAAGAAUGCCCACCUUGACUUCUGUUCUGCAGUGUUAGAGCUGUGCAGGCUGCCCCUGUGUUCUGGUAUUUUUAAGGGCCAACCAAAGGUGGCCUUGUCCCCACAUGAUCUACCCCACUUGCCCACUGCUUGGGCCUGAAUUUCCACCAUAGGGAUAGAUUCCUUCAUGUUUGAGGUGCUGUUCCAGGUUGAAAGGUAACUUGUACCACAGUUCAGAGAGCAGUCACUGAUAGGUUAUCUCAUCUGAUGAUCACAGCUUCUCAAUUAUUGUCAUUAAAACCCUUUGACAGAUAAGGAGAUUAAAGUUCACAGAGGUGAAGCCACUGGGCUCCCAAGGUCAUCACUGGGUGCCAGAACUAGGAACAGAGCCCAUAUCUCCUGGUAACCAGGUGAAUUCUCUUUCCAGCUUACCUGUCAUUCAUUGCCUGCUGUGUUUUUCAUGCAUAUGUGACUCAUGCUUCCACCUAGAUCACAUGUUUCUUGAGGUCAGAGCCCUUUCUGUGAUCUGCUUUACCUGUUUGACUUGCCUUGGUACAGAGAAUGGAGCUGCAAGACUCCCCUGGUCAGAUCACGUCGGGUCUCCUGAAGACACCAGGAGGAUUCUACUGUGCACAGGUUGAUUGUAUGUCUCCUUUUCCCACUUCUUCCUGAAAUUUUCUUAUUAUACUUUUGAUUAAAAUGUAUGUCUUAGGUUGCUUUCUGUUGCUACAGCUGAAUACCUGAGACUGUAUAUAUAGACAUAGAAAAGGGCUGGACGCAGUGGCUCAUGCCUGUACUCCCAGCACUUUGAGAGGCCAAGGCUGGGGAAUCACUUCCGGCCAGGAGUUUAAGACCAGCCUAGGCAACAUAGUGAGACCCCCGUCUCUAAAAAUAAAAGAAAAGGAAAAAAAGACAAAAAAGACGAUGAUUUAUUGCAGUUUUGGAGACUGGGAAGUCCAAGGUCUAGGGGGCACAACUGGUGAGAGGCUUCUUGCUGGUGGGGACUCUCUGUAGAAUACCAAGACGGUACAGAGCAUCACAUGGCAAGGGGAGCUCACUGAGAGCCAAACUGGCUUUAUUUAUUUAUUUUAAUUUUUUGAGACAGGGUCUCACUUUGUCACCCAGGCUGGAGUGCAUGGGGCAAUCACUGUUCACUGAACCCUCAACCUCCCAGGCUCAAAUAAUCCUCCUGCCUCAGUCCCCCAAGUAGCUAGGAAUACAGGUGUGGGCCACCACACCCGACUAAUUUUUGUUUUUUUAUUUUUUUGUGGAGAGAGAUUUCACCAUGUUGCCCAGGCUGGUCUCAAACUCCUGGGCUCAAGUGAUUUGCCUGCCUUGGCCUCCCAAGGUUCUGGGAUUAUAGGCAUGAGCCACCACACCAGACCUUUAUUUAUUUCUGAGAAAGGGUCUUGCUCUGUUGCCCAGAUCAGAGUGCAGUGAUGCAAAGAUGGCUCACUGCAGCCUCAGCCUCUGGAGUAGCUGGGACAACAGGUGUGAGCCACCACACUUGACUAAUUCUUUUUUUUUUAGAAAUGGGGUCUCCCUGCUGGGUGCAGUGGCUCACGCCUGUAAUCGCAGUACUCUGGGAGGCCGAGGCAGGCAAAUCACAAGGUCAGGAGUUCGAGACCAGCCUGGCCAACAUGGUGAAACCCCG
This 4770-nucleotide long non-coding RNA is filed under the name Homo sapiens (human). RNAcentral's name for it is "HSALNT0330559". The record is from RNAcentral. Lineage: Eukaryota; Metazoa; Chordata; Mammalia; Primates; Hominidae.